AGCGAACGCUGGCGGCAGGCUUAACACAUGCAGGUCGAACGCAUCACUUCGGUGGUGAGUGGCAGACGGGUGAGUAACACGUGGGAACGUACCCUUCGAUCUGGGAUAACUUCGGGAAACUGGAGCUAAUACCGGAUACGCCCUUUUGGGGAAAGGUUUACUGUCGAAGGAUCGGCCCGCGUCUGAUUAGCUAGUUGGUGGGGUAACGGCCUACCAAGGCGACGAUCAGUAGCUGGUCUGAGAGGAUGAUCAGCCACACUGGGACUGAGACACGGCCCAGACUCCUACGGGAGGCAGCAGUGGGGAAUAUUGGACAAUGGGCGCAAGCCUGAUCCAGCCAUGCCGCGUGAGUGAUGAAGGCCUUAGGGUUGUAAAGCUCUUUUGUCCGGGACGAUAAUGACGGUACCGGAAGAAUAAGCCCCGGCUAACUUCGUG
This 435-nucleotide ribosomal RNA is filed under the name uncultured bacterium. RNAcentral's name for it is "partial 16S ribosomal RNA". It matches the Rfam family "Bacterial small subunit ribosomal RNA", at positions 29 to 507 of the family's 1533-position model. The record is from RNAcentral.